UAGGGAAUCUUCGGCAAUGGACGAAAGUCUGACCGAGCAACGCCGCGUGAGUGAAGAAGGUUUUCGGAUCGUAAAACUCUGUUGUUAGAGAAGAACGUUGCAUAGAGUGGAAAAUUAUGCAAGUGACGGUAUCUAACCAGAAAGGGACGGCUAACUACGUGCCAGCAGCCGCGGUAAUACGUAGGUCCCGAGCGUUGUCCGGAUUUAUUGGGCGUAAAGCGAGCGCAGGUGGUUUAAUAAGUCUGAUGUAAAAGGCAGUGGCUCAACCAUUGUGUGCAUUGGAAACUGUUAGACUUGAGUGCAGUAGAGGAGAGUGGAAUUCCAUGUGUAGCGGUGAAAUGCGUAGAUAUAUGGAGGAACACCGGUGGCGAAAGCGGCUCUCUGGACUGUCACUGACACUGAGGCUCGAAAGCGUGGGUAGCAAACAGGAUUAGAUACCCUGGUAGUCCACGCCGUAAACGAUGAGUGCUAGUUGU
RNAcentral lists this ribosomal RNA (476 nucleotides) under uncultured bacterium. RNAcentral's name for it is "partial 16S ribosomal RNA". It matches the Rfam family "Bacterial small subunit ribosomal RNA", at positions 355 to 823 of the family's 1533-position model. The record is from RNAcentral.